Molecule: non-coding RNA, 19 nt
Filed under: Arabidopsis thaliana (thale cress)
Lineage: Eukaryota; Viridiplantae; Streptophyta; Magnoliopsida; Brassicales; Brassicaceae
Also listed under: 2 other names
Source: RNAcentral
CCAAGGUGAACAGCCUCUG